Molecule: ribosomal RNA, 435 nt
Filed under: uncultured bacterium
Lineage: Bacteria
Description: partial 16S ribosomal RNA
Rfam family: Bacterial small subunit ribosomal RNA
Source: RNAcentral
AGCGAACGCUGGCGGCAGGCUUAACACAUGCAAGUCGAACGGGCAUCUUCGGAUGUCAGUGGCAGACGGGUGAGUAACACGUGGGAACGUACCCUUCGGUUCGGAAUAACUCAGGGAAACUUGAGCUAAUACCGGAUACGCCCUUUUGGGGAAAGGUUUACUGCCGAAGGAUCGGCCCGCGUCUGAUUAGCUUGUUGGUGGGGUAACGGCCUACCAAGGCGACGAUCAGUAGCUGGUCUGAGAGGAUGAUCAGCCACACUGGGACUGAGACGCGGCCCAGACUCCUACGGGAGGCAGCAGUGGGGAAUAUUGGACAAUGGGCGCAAGCCUGAUCCAGCCAUGCCGCGUGAGUGAUGAGGGCCUUAGGGUUGUAAAGCUCUUUUGUCCGGGACGAUAAUGACGGUACCGGAAGAAUAAGCCCCGGCUAACUUCGUG